CCCCACAAGCCACGGAAAGGAGGGGAUGGUUCCAGUUAUGAGCGGCGCAGAGACGACCAUCUUUCCCUGAUCCCUUUCUCUCCUCUGUCUCUCCUGUUCGUUGUCCAUGCAGAAAUCCCCCACAUCUCCCACCCAAAUCCCAUCGAUCAGCGGCGAAGAAGGAAGGGCACGGCUGGUGGGGAAAUCGCCGCCGUGACUGCGUGCAGGGGGAGAUUCGUGUAGUAGCGGCUAGGCGAAGAGAUCUCCCCGUCGUGUAGAUCCGGCAACCGUAGAUCGGCAAGGCGGGAUGGGCACGGUGAGGGGCCACCAUCCGGCGAUGGGCGGCCGCUGCGGGGGCCCGACGUCGCUGCGGUGCUCCAGCUCGCCGGCGUAGGAGUUCGCGGCGCUAGUGUCUGUGUUCGGGCGGCUGGUGGUGGGGACGACCAUGGCGGCGGCCGUGGGGGCCGACUUUGGGGCGUCAUCAGGUUCCUCCUCAGGAUGUCCCCGGAGCUCGGGCGUUCGCUGAGGCUCAAUGUGCUCUACCCCAUCUGCGGCUUCACGCGAUACCUGGACCCCUCCAUUGAUUCGAUAUGCGUGUAAGCAGUUUGCCCCAUCCAACCAAUGGCAUGGGAUAGCAAUCUAAUCGCCACAGUCAGAGAUGGACUUGAAGGAGUUUGAAGUGUUUGGCAAGCUACAAGUGCUGGGUGGAUGAGCUUCUAACAAACAAAUUUUGAACAUAAGUGAUCACCAAGAAGCAAUCUGCUACUAUGUCUUUUUCAGUUUUUUAGCCAUUGUUUAAAUUUUGAACUGACAUUACUGCAUUAUAGAUAUAUCUAGUAGACUAUGUGCAAACAAACCAGAACAUAUGGCUUAUAUAUGCCACCUUUUUUGUUUUUUUUCAGUAGUAUGUUCAUUUCUUUCCCGUGUCUGUGUGAGUUGCACAAUAUGAAACAAAAGUUGGUUGGAUUACCUAAAAUAGUUGGUCGCAACCAACACAAAAGUUGCACAAUAUGCAAUUCCAUGUUUGUGUGUUCCUGGGUUUUGUGUGUGCUUUUGCAUAAGUUUUGAAGAAUUAUUUUUCUUCUAUGCAUUUGGUUCCUUCGACUAAUUUGUUUGUGUUCUUUUUUUCACAGACCAAAAAUGGUUGUAGAAGGAGAUGCAACUCCUAGUGAAGGAGAGGUUAUGGGGGAGGAGCUGUUGUACAUUUGUGCACAUAAUUCUCAACUACAGAGUCACAUAUACUGUGUGGAAAGAUCAAAGGAAAAAGACACCUGCAGACCGGAUUUUUGUCUAGUUGGUAGUUAUGUUUCACAGUACCUACAACAUACUUUUCUCUUUUUAUUCUUCUUUUUUUUGCUACAUGGACGUCGUUCUUCUGCAAUAUGUGUGUAUAAGACAUUCUAUGUGCUCUCUCCUAUAUAAUUACACAGUUUUUGCAUUU
Molecule: long non-coding RNA, 1420 nt
Organism: Triticum dicoccoides
Lineage: Eukaryota; Viridiplantae; Streptophyta; Magnoliopsida; Poales; Poaceae
Exons: 4
Source: RefSeq, a predicted model, not a curated record